UCGUGUCAUCAUCAUAUGCAAAUUAGCAGCAAGCAUUAAAACUCAGACCGAGGCGGCACCAUUUAUAACCUCCUUAACAGCAUGGAGACAACAGACUUGUGAAAACAAAAGUGAAUGAACAGGGGUAAAGGUAACAAAUGCAAGCAAUUAAACUGCUUUUAAAACACCUCCUUCAGGAGUACAGAGGAUGCAGAUCUAAAGACAGGAUAUCAUCGUAUACUGUAAGUUCAUUACUGAGACACUACAGUAUAGAUGAUGUACUAUCAAGGGGGUCAAUACUCCUCCAACAGUUCCAACAACUCAUGCAUCCAUGGACAGAGAUUGGCGAUAAAACCGUUACCAUUACUGAGUUUAGUAAUGGUAAGGGUUCUUUUGCCUCUUUCAAAAGUCAUCUGGUAAAAAGAAGACAAAGCGAGUGACAAGCGGACAGGAUGACUUCAAAGAAAGAUCAUUGAUAAAAGAAUUCAAAUGUGUAAUAUUGUAUUCUGUGUUAUUACUGUAUUUUGUGUAUUAAUAAAUAUUACUGUAUUUGAAAUUAAA
Molecule: long non-coding RNA, 540 nt
Organism: Misgurnus anguillicaudatus (oriental weatherfish)
Lineage: Eukaryota; Metazoa; Chordata; Actinopteri; Cypriniformes; Cobitidae
Source: RefSeq, a predicted model, not a curated record